AGCAAAUUUAAAUAAAAUUAGAAUGAAAAUAUUCUCAGUUCAAUAAAGAAGAUAAAAAAUUUGGAGGGUUAGUUUAGGAGAAUAAGGUCAUGUCUGAUGACAGCGAGGCAAUACUCAUUGAAAGCGAUGAAUUAAAGGAAGACUAGAUAUGUGAAGAAGACACUGCCGAUGAAAAGAAAAAUUAAUUUAAUUAUGAUGCUAAUAGUGUGAACACCAAAUUGUUGUCUCCUCUCUUUAUCGAGUAGAAUGAAAUAUUUCUCACUAGAUGACGGUGUCUAUCUAUCUAGAGGUAACAAUGUUAUAUAGCUCAUCAUCAUUUGGUCUUACAAACCAAAUAAAAAAACUGAAUAUUGUAUUUUUAAAUUAACGUAAAUUUAAACCACCUAGCCUGAGUGGGUCCCCAAUGCGUGCAACAAAUGUUGGACUAGUAUUGUAUACUCCCAUAGCCUGUCUUAUCGUUAAUACUUAUGUUUGUAAAUGAGUGUAUUAUGUUUUUGAGGAGGUGUGUUGAAAACAAGCUAAGUAAUUUGAAUUUGCCGGUUCGAUAAAACAUCGAUAAAUAUGUAAAUCUUUAGCUAUCCAAAAUAAAGACGUUGAAAUAGCUUGUUGCAAAAACGCUAUAAACAGGUAUCGAUACAUAUAUAUCGGAUAUAUACGAUUUUUUCUCAACUGACGCUUCGGAAAGACAACAAGGCUACGCAUAUCGAAAAAAUAAAGAGAAUAUAAAACAAAUUGAAAAUUAAAUUAGCUCCUGUGUUAUUAUUAAAAUAUUGUGGUUAAUCGUAUUAUUAACGUAAUUUAAAUAUAAAUUGCGUUAUCUAUAACUGCGUGCUGUUGUUGUUUGCUGCCCACCGGAGCAAUAGUAUAAAGAAGAUAUACUUGUAACUUUUGAUGAAUACAUAUAUUGAUAAUUGAUAUAUUGGAUGUCUAAUAUACUUGAUACUAUUGAUAUUUUACAUGUGAUGUGAUUGACGACAACUCGAUAUAGUAAUAUUCAAUCAGCUGUUUCGUUGUGAAAUAGAAAGACUUCGAAAUAAAUCAAAAAAUUCGGUUUGCAGAGCACCUUAAUUGAAAUCAUUUGGUAAAAACGAAAUCAUAUUACUUCCAUUUGGUUUCUGGAACAUGCCUCAAAAACUAUUGAUAGCAAAUAAGUGACCAACUCUAUUCCACAAUCUUUAAAUAUAUGCUUCGAUAUCGAAUCCAGCAAGUCACGGCAAUAAUUAGCUUGGAAAUCAUUGUACAAACCUACAAGUAACCAAUCCUAAAUAUAUACAUACAUAUCUCUUGUAUCAAAACUUUAUUAAUAUCAAAUCAAAAUAAACAAAUCGAGGUAAACUUGGUAAUAGAUGAAGGCAGCUUCUACAUGUUUUCGUAUAUAUUUGCGGUUACUUGUAUUAUAAAUUAAUAUAAUAUAAAUAUAUAUAUAUAAUAAAGAAAAUCAAUAGACUUGCAGUGUGGCGAACACGAAUGCCAAGACAAAAUAGAAUCGAUGAUAAAUAGCUAAAAUCAACCAGCCAGCAAAAUAGCGUAGUUGCCAGGAUGUUCGAGUGGCGACGUUUUCGUAACUAUAUAAGGGCUGCCGGAUCGUGCAGCAGAGACAGUUCUAAUUAAAGUGCAGCUUAGUAAAAGUAAACUCGAAUAACAAGUAAUAAGAUUUCAGUGGUUUAAAUUAGAAAUAAAGGAAGAGACAACGAAGACAGAAUGCUCAUCAAACUCUAUGGACAUAAACAUGAUUUUGGCUGCAAUGUCGCAGAUGACAACGCUAAUGUCAACGCAAAUAUCGACACAGUUUAAAGAGCAGGAUAUAGUAUGUCGCAGAUGGCCUUACAAAUAGCAGAGUAUUAUCACAAAGGGUAGGAUGCACGGAUAUCACAGGUAACCUCACAAAUAGCCGAAGUCCAUGUAAGGACAAUGUUUCAAAUGAGCAGGAUAAAAUUAAAAUUGGAGUGGAUGAAUUGAAAAAUCGUCUCUGCGAGAUACAAUUAUAUCAGCAAAUUAUGUCAACAGCCUCUGGCAAGGUAUUUUUAAGCUUUAAUUCGAAAAGAUGGUAUCUGCAAAUAAUUGGAACGUCGGACAAAGUAGUUGCAUUUGGAGAUGAAAAACUACCGUUCGAUGUUUUGAUAGUUUUUCUCUUGAAAUCUACUUACUUUUCGCUGGUUUAAUAAAAAAAAAGACCGUAGCUUUGUACACUUCAUUUUUAUGAAAUAAUUUUUUAAUUUAUUUAUAAAACAAAACAUGAACAGUAAACAAAAAAAAAACAAAAAAGUUAGUUACGUAUAAAAAUAGUAUAUAAAUUUCCAUGUUACUAUAUUAACUGCUCUGAGAGCUGACAAGUUAUAAAAAGGUACAUUUUUUAUACAUUUACUAAUGUUUCGGUAGAGUACUUUGUUCCUCAAUAAUAUACAUGUUUUUUUUAUAAUAGUAAUUAGUUGACGUUUUCAGCCUUUAGUUUCUUCUAUCUGAUAUCCUAUCUGGAUCGCUACAGCCUGGUUAAACACUCUCUCGGACUCUGUAUAUCGUCUACCAAUAGGGAUGAUGUGGUUUUUACACUCGUGGCGGACAUUUUUGUUUACGGAUUUGUGUCAAAUUUCGCCAGUGUAUUCAGAAAGAUCAAGCCCAUUUCUGGUUUAAUGGUCGUCAACAAACAAAAUUGUCACUAUUGGGGUGAUUCCAUUCCAUUCAAUGCUCGAGGAGUUCGAAAACAACCUUCAAAGCACUAUAGCGGAAAUGCUGCACCGAUUUGGCCGACAUUUUGUUUACUUCAUAAAUGGAUGAAAUUAUCAGUAUGACAAAAAAAACAGAACCCAUUUUGACCGAAUUGAGUGCUUUAUUUCAUUUUAAAAUCACGUCGUUCUUAUUGAUAGAGCUGAUAUAUUUCACUUGUGAUUUACAUGGCAAUGAAUAUAUUUUUCCUCAAGAUAAUGCCCCAACCUACGUGGCAAAGACGACAAAGGAGUUCUAUAACUCCCGACAGACUGAGUUACUUCAGUGGCCUGCGUUAAGCCCAGAUCUCAAUCCCAUCGAGGAUCUAUGGGGAACUCUUUCCCCCAAAAUAUUUGCAUAAUCGAAGCAAUACGACAGCCUUUGGCAGCUUAAAAAGACCUUAGAAGAUAAAUGGGACAAAACUGAUUUGUCUGUCCUUAAAAAAACUGGUGGAAUCAAUGCCCCAACGUAUGCAGUUUGUAAAGAUAACUGAGCCCUAUCUCGCAUUUACUUUUAUAAAACUUUUAUUUCACAAAACAAAUAAUAUGUAUAUUAAAUAGACUUUUUGAACAUAUAAACAUUUUACAAGGGCUAUUAAAGUACAAAUGUUUUCAAUAUAAUACUGUGUUAAGAAAUAAUAAUGAUAUAAAAACACUAACCAAAACUAAAACGUUGUAAAGUUU
Bactrocera oleae (olive fruit fly) is the source of this 3386-nucleotide long non-coding RNA. RefSeq lists it as uncharacterized. The record is from RefSeq and is a predicted model, not a curated record. NCBI's taxonomy places the organism in Eukaryota, Metazoa, Arthropoda, Insecta, Diptera, Tephritidae.